AUUUCGAGACACAGGCGCUUUUCCAUCGUAAAAGAAACGUUAUCGAAUUCUGCCGUGUUUACAGCCAUGCCAAUGCAGCAUGAGUUCGACACGAAUGGCCAUAAAAAGUUAGUAGCAACAACGCAGUUUUAUACAGUGCGGAUCAGUCCUUAGAGCAGUGCAGUUAAAUUCUCAAGUCACGUUUGAAAAUUCUGGUUGCGUGCGAAUUCAAUUUGUUCUUAGAGCCUUAAAGGUGAUGCGAAGUUGAUGGAAACGAACGUUGGCAAAGCACAGACGUGGAACAUUCAACAGCUGUACCGCAGGAUGAGAAAAAAGUGCAACAGGCGCCAAGGAACACCCUGAAGUAUUAUUUUAAUAGAUUUAGCCCAACUUGAAAGUUGAUGGAGAUAUAAACGCGAUGAAUAUGGACGACGACUAAUUCGAAUACAGAAUUUGCUAAUUUUAACUAAUUAGUAACAGUUUAAUUAUCUGGUGAAUUAAUUUCCUAAAGAACAGUCAGCUCUUGUGCUUUUGAAAAUUACACUAAAAAUAAAAUGCUAGUUGUUAAACUGUUAGUUGUAUUUGUCAUCUAUUAUUCCGAUAAAAUUUUGUUCAUCUCUGCCACCAGCCAAUUACUGCCGAGUAAUUGGAAACUGUUCGAACUAUUAAUAGGGUCACGUGCAAGGCUGUAUUUGCCAGAAAAGCUUUGCUGAUGAGCCCAACUAACACAUUAGGGACGAAAAGCACGUUUAUCUUUAAUAAUCGAAAUAAGUGAAUUAUAAGUCUCAAUAAUUCCUUAAUAACUAAUAAUUCUAAAAAUUUUGGCAUGCAGAAGUUUUAAAGUUUGAUAUGCAAAAAUUGAAUUUUAAGGAGAAAGGUCUUCUAAGUUUUCAAUGUUUAACUCUGAAAUUAAACGUCCUAUGAAUGAGCUGUCAAUAUAAAAAAGUUUCGUUUUGUCAUUCUCUAUAAGGUGAUAUUUUGUUUAAUAUUCACACCU
Hylaeus anthracinus is the source of this 976-nucleotide long non-coding RNA. RefSeq lists it as uncharacterized. NCBI's taxonomy places the organism in Eukaryota, Metazoa, Arthropoda, Insecta, Hymenoptera, Colletidae. The record is from RefSeq and is a predicted model, not a curated record. The transcript is spliced from 3 exons.